GACGAACGCUGGCGGCGUGCUUAACACAUGCAAGUCGAGCGGUAAGGCCCUUCGGGUACGACGAGCGGCGAACGGGUGAGUAACACGUGGGUGACCUGCCUUUAGCUCUGGGAUAAGCCUGGGAAACUGGGUCUAAUACCGGAUAUGACUCCACGGCGCAUGUUGUGGGGUGGAAAGCCUUGUGCGGCUGGAGAUGGGCCCGCGGCCUAUCAGCUUGUUGGUGGGGUGANGGCCGUACCAAGGCGACGACGGGUAGCCGGCCUGAGAGGGCGACCGGCCACACUGGGACUGAGACACGGGCCCAGACUCCUACGGGAGGCAGCAGUGGGGAAUCUUGCGCAAUGGGCGAAAGCCUGACGCAGCGACGCCGC
RNAcentral lists this ribosomal RNA (371 nucleotides) under uncultured bacterium. RNAcentral's name for it is "bacterial SSU rRNA". It matches the Rfam family "Bacterial small subunit ribosomal RNA", at positions 28 to 400 of the family's 1533-position model. The record is from RNAcentral.